Molecule: ribosomal RNA, 253 nt
Filed under: uncultured bacterium
Lineage: Bacteria
Description: partial 16S ribosomal RNA
Rfam family: Bacterial small subunit ribosomal RNA
Source: RNAcentral
UACGUAGGGAGCAAGCGUUGUCCGGAAUCAUUGGGCGUAAAGCGCGCGUAGGUGGCCCCAUAAGUCCGCUGUGAAAGUCAAAGGCUCAACCUUUGAAAGCCGGUGGAUACUGUGGGACUAGAGUACGGAAGAGGAGAGUGGAAUUCCCGGUGUAGCGGUGAAAUGCGCAGAUAUCAGGAAGAACACCCGUGGCGAAAGCGGCUCUCUGGAACGGUACUGACGCUGAGACGCGAAAGCGUGGGGAGCGAACAGG